UGGGGAAUAUUGCACAAUGGAGGGAACUCUGAUGCAGCGACGCCGCGUGAACGAAGAAGGCUUUCGAGUCGUAAAGUUCUUUUAUAUGGGAAGAUAAUGACGGUACCAUAAGAAAAAGCCCCGGCUAACUACGUGCCAGCAGCCGCGGUAAUACGUAGGGGGCUAGCGUUGUCCGGACUCACUGGGCGUAAAGGGUUCGCAGGCGGAAAUGCAAGUCAGGUGUAAAAGGCAGUAGCUUAACUACUGUAAGCAUUUGAAACUGCAUAUCUUGAGAAGAGUAGAGGUAAGUGGAAUUUUUAGUGUAGCGGUGAAAUGCGUAGAUAUUAAAAAGAAUACCGGUGGCGAAGGCGACAUACUGGGCUCAUUCUGACGCUGAGGAACGAAAGCGUGGGUAGCAAACAGG
RNAcentral lists this ribosomal RNA (403 nucleotides) under bacterium. RNAcentral describes it as "partial 16S ribosomal RNA". It matches the Rfam family "Bacterial small subunit ribosomal RNA", at positions 355 to 776 of the family's 1533-position model. The record is from RNAcentral.